This 105-nucleotide small nuclear RNA is filed under the name Dipodomys ordii (Ord's kangaroo rat). The record is from RNAcentral. Lineage: Eukaryota; Metazoa; Chordata; Mammalia; Rodentia; Heteromyidae.
GUGCUCACGCCUGCAAGCACAGAUGAAAACUAGAAAGCUGCAGAAAAGGUUAACACAGCCCUGAGUAAGGAGAAUGCUCACAUUAGUUAAGUGCUCCACAUUUUU